This 463-nucleotide ribosomal RNA is filed under the name uncultured bacterium. RNAcentral's name for it is "bacterial SSU rRNA". It matches the Rfam family "Bacterial small subunit ribosomal RNA", at positions 33 to 507 of the family's 1533-position model. The record is from RNAcentral.
AGACGACGCUGGCGGCGUGCCUAACACAUGCAAGUCGAACGGGGUGAUUUCCUUCGGGAGAUCACUUAGUGGCGAACGGGUGAGUAACGCGUGGGUAACCUGCCUUAUACAGGGGGAUAACACUUAGAAAUAGGUGCUAAUACCGCAUAAGCGCACAGUAUCGCAUGAUACAGUGUGAAAAACUCCGGUGGUAUAAGAUGGACCCGCGUCUGAUUAGCUAGUUGGUGAGGUAACGGCUCACCAAGGCGACGAUCAGUAGCCGGCCUGAGAGGGUGAACGGGCCACAUUGGGACUGAGACACGGUCCAAACUCCUACGGGAGGCAGCAGUGGGGAAUAUUGCACAAUGGGCGAAAGCCUGAUGCAGCAACGCCGCGUGAGCGAUGAAGGCCUUCGGGUCGUAAAGCUCUGUCCUCAAGGAAGAUAAUGACGGUACUUGAGGAGGAAGCCCCGGCUAACUACGUG